UGGCGAACGGGUGAGUAACACGUGGGUGAUCUGCCCUGCACUCUGGGAUAAGCCUGGGAAACUGGGUCUAAUACCGGAUAGGACCGCACUUUAGUGUGUGUGGUGGAAAGUUUUUUCGGUGUAGGAUGAGCUCGCGGCCUAUCAGCUUGUUGGUGGGGUAAUGGCCUACCAAGGCGGCGACGGGUAGCCGGCCUGAGAGGGUGUACGGCCACAUUGGGGCUGAGAUACGGCCCAG
This 235-nucleotide ribosomal RNA is filed under the name uncultured Actinomycetales bacterium. RNAcentral describes it as "partial 16S ribosomal RNA". It matches the Rfam family "Bacterial small subunit ribosomal RNA", at positions 96 to 334 of the family's 1533-position model. Lineage: Bacteria; Bacillati; Actinomycetota; Actinomycetes; Actinomycetales. The record is from RNAcentral.